GAUGAACGCUGGCGGCGUGCCUAAUACAUGCAAGUCGAGCGAACAGACGAGGAGCUUGCUCCUCUGACGUUAGCGGCGGACGGGUGAGUAACACGUGGAUAACCUACCUCUAAGACUGGGAUAACUUCGGGAAACCGGAGCUAAUACCGGAUAAUACAUUGAACCGCAUGGUUCAAUAGUGAAAGACGGUUUUGGUGUCACUUAUAGAUGGUUCCGCGGCGGAUUAGCUAGUUGGUAAGGUAACGGCUUACCAAGGCGACGAUGCGUAGCCGGUCUGAGAGGAUGAUCGGCCACACUGGAACUGAGACACGGUCCAGACUCCUACGGGAGGCAGCAGUGGGGAAUAUUGGGCAAUGGGCGCAAGCCUGACGCAGCCAUACCGCGUGAGUGAAGAAGGCCUUCGGGUUGUAAAGCCCUUUUGUUGGGAAAGAAAAGCAGCAUGUUAAAACCUCGCUGUUUUGACGGUACCUAAUGAAUAAGCUCCGGCUAACUUCGUG
This 497-nucleotide ribosomal RNA is filed under the name uncultured bacterium. RNAcentral describes it as "partial 16S ribosomal RNA". It matches the Rfam family "Bacterial small subunit ribosomal RNA", at positions 28 to 507 of the family's 1533-position model. The record is from RNAcentral.